Long non-coding RNA from Nematostella vectensis (starlet sea anemone), 871 nucleotides. RefSeq lists it as uncharacterized. Lineage: Eukaryota; Metazoa; Cnidaria; Anthozoa; Actiniaria; Edwardsiidae. The record is from RefSeq and is a predicted model, not a curated record. The transcript is spliced from 2 exons.
ACUGGUGAGGUCCUCGAUAGCUACGUCCUGAACAAAAAAUGCUUAAAGUGUGAGCUCUAUUUGAACAAGUGUGAUGAGAAUGUCGAGGAGUUUGAGGAGUGGAGGGCAGAGCAUAUGGCCAAGGGAGAGUGUGACGCAAACUUCACAGGAAGUUCGCCAGCAAUGGAGGCAGAAGGAGCCCAAGUUCUGUGGUCCAGGUCCAUUGAAAAACACAAGAUGCGCAAAUAUGGGCAAAGAAAAUAGAGGAGCGGUUCCUUAACGAUGCUCAUACUGCCAGCAGAAAUGAGAGAAGGCAGUACGAGCGGGAACACAAUAUUACCCUACCAAAGGGAAAGCCAGGGAGAAAAAAAAAAGGGGGCACCAAGCCUGGAGCUGCCUUAAGGGGAAACCGAGAACACCAUGCAUCAGAAGCAGAAACAGCAAAGAUGGCAAUUACCAAAAAGCCCCUGGACAGGUCAAGUCCUUAAGGCGGCGGUUAACUUAAAUUACCCUCAGAAGGUCGAUUUUUCAUUUUUAACAAAAAUCAAUUCUUUAACUAUCUAACUUUAAUUUCCCUAACUUUCAGGGUAUGUUUUAUAGCAAUUUUGUUAUUUUUUCGCUACUUUUCAACAACCAGUUGAUGCUUCUACCGCCGUUGCCAUGGCAACGAAAACUAGAAUCCUUUUAUAUCUUUUGUUUUUUCCCGCCCCGGAUGCAUCCAAUCUUUUUAAAAUUGACCAGAAACUGCAAUCAAACUAUCCAGCGGCUUCUAGAGGCAAUAAAAGGCCUGGAACGUUAGCCUGUCGUUGCCGCGGAUCGCCGGGCCAGAUCCCUAGUCUUCAAGACCCAAGGAUCCCCGGCCUUGGGAGAAAUCAAACAGGCUCUUAUCAAA